Long non-coding RNA from Rosa chinensis, 886 nucleotides. RefSeq lists it as uncharacterized. The record is from RefSeq and is a predicted model, not a curated record. NCBI's taxonomy places the organism in Eukaryota, Viridiplantae, Streptophyta, Magnoliopsida, Rosales, Rosaceae. The transcript has 4 exons.
CUCCUCUAUCUUAUCUUCUCUGGGGGUCUGAUAUCAAACCAGCAAAAAAACAAAACCCCAUCUCGUCUCAGUCCAACACCACCACUCAUCCACAAGUUCUUUGUUUUGCCAAAACAAAAUACUCCACAAGUUCUUUGCUUUGCCAAAACAAAAUACUCGAUCUUUUUGUUUGGUUAAUAUUACCCACAUCUUGCUUUUUGUUUCCCAAAACUCUCAAUUUCUCUAAGGUUUUCUUUUCCUAGAUCCCUAUUUCUUGUUCUUGUGAGCUUGAGAUUUGGACGCCAUUAGAUGAUAUUAAAGCCACUGCGAGGUGUUGCAUGAGCUUCUCUUCUCUAGUUCUCAAAAUCUUGCUUGGCUUUUGAAGCGUUAGCAGAUGGGUUGCUUUGAUUUCACGGGGAAACCAUUCAGGUAGACUUGAUCUGCACCUGCAAGCAACAUCAGAAGUUCUAUGCUGGUAAGUGUCACAGCACAGACGGACAUGGAGGAAGAAGAACCCAUAUUCCUUUAGGGGCACAAUCCAAGAUAGAUGGCAUCCAAGGUCAGCAACAAAUUCAAGUCAAGAAUUAAGGUCCAAGCACCGCAGCAAAUGUGACGAUAAAAUUAGGCAGCCUUUUCCCAUACCUUUGAACUUUCAGUACAAUACUAUGGUGGCGGCCUCCAUCUAUGUUUUUUUAUUUUGGACUGAUGCUAAACUAAUGGAAGAUUUAAAUGAUGUUUAUUUCUGAAGUUGCUGUUUUGAAAUUAUAUUGUAGAAGUAUUUAAAUUUGGUUUCCAGAUUCCAUUACAGGGAGUCAGGGACUAUGUAACAUAAUUCAGGGACUCCAUUACAGGGAGUCAGGGACUAUGUAACAUAAUUCAUCUUUAAAAGUCAGAAGUGAUCUCAGAA